GUGGAUAUAGUUUAACCAAAACAUUAGAUUGUGAUUCUAAAGACAGGAGUUAAAACCCCCUUACUCACC
RNAcentral lists this transfer RNA (69 nucleotides) under Xenophysogobio boulengeri. RNAcentral's name for it is "tRNA-His". It matches the Rfam family "tRNA". From Rfam's summary of the family: Transfer RNA (tRNA) molecules are approximately 80 nucleotides in length. Their secondary structure includes four short double-helical elements and three loops (D, anti-codon, and T loops). The record is from RNAcentral. Lineage: Eukaryota; Metazoa; Chordata; Actinopteri; Cypriniformes; Gobionidae.